CUGCGGACAGAGGAACCCUCCCGGCCGGGCCGCCCCGACGCUCAUGCCGCGGCCAGAGGAGCCUGCCAAGGAAGGUUUAUUCCAGAACAGCAGUGGCUACCGGCUGACAUCCAACCUCUGCAUAAGUCUGUGCCCAGGGAUAAUAACUGCUGAAUCCCUUACUUCACUGUAAGGAUGUAUGAGGGGACAUUCUGUCUUCAGCUGCACAUCAGUAUCACCUGGGGGCAACUUUUACUACAUACUGACCUCUGGCCCCCAUCCCAGAGACCCUAACGUGCAGCUAGGGCUGAGGCUGCGGAGAGACCAUCUGGGCUGGCAGCUGACCAGGAAGAAAAGAUGAAGAAGCACCUGCCUGCUGUCCUCACAGGCAGGCAAAGUCUGAGCAUUAAGGGAGAGUCCAAGGGCGCCACUGAUGCAGCACCUGUCGUGCUCCCAGACAACAGUAUUUUUCUUCUUAGUCCAGAUGCAUGAAGUUUUUAACUAUAUAUAAUCCGUUCUGUUUUCUGUAACCACUGAAGUAUCAUCUGUAACAAAAGAAUCUUCUAAGCAAUCCAGAUUUAAAAAGUAUACGUAAUUUUCAGAAAGUCAUUUUUAAUUUGUAUAAUGCCUUAUCUUGUAAAGUAGAUUGUAUUGCUUGAGGUUAGUUGCCCUGGAUGGUAAUAUUUCAAAUGACAACCUUCGGAAUAGAUUUUGUGUGAUUUCUUUGA
Felis catus (domestic cat) is the source of this 707-nucleotide long non-coding RNA. RefSeq lists it as uncharacterized. Lineage: Eukaryota; Metazoa; Chordata; Mammalia; Carnivora; Felidae. The record is from RefSeq and is a predicted model, not a curated record. The transcript is spliced from 2 exons.